GACGAACGCUGGCGGCGUGCCUAAUACAUGCAAGUUGGGCGCUGAAGGUUGGUACUUGUACCAACUGGAUGAGCAGCGAACGGAUGAGUAACGCGUGGGGAAUCUGCCUUUGAGCGGGGGACAACAUUUGGAAACGAAUGCUAAUACCGCAUAAAAACUUUAAACACAAGUUUUAAGUUUGAAAGAUGCAAUUGCAUCACUCAAAGAUGAUCCCGCGUUGUAUUAGCUAGUUGGUGAGGUAAAGGCUCACCAAGGCGAUGAUACAUAGCCGACCUGAGAGGGUGAUCGGCCACAUUGGGACUGAGACACGGCCCAAACUCCUACGGGAGGCAGCAGUAGGGAAUCUUCGGCAAUGGACGAAAGUCUGACCGAGCAACGCCGCGUGAGUGAAGAAGGUUUUCGGAUCGUAAAAACUCUGUUGGUA
RNAcentral lists this ribosomal RNA (424 nucleotides) under Lactococcus lactis. Its description in RNAcentral is "bacterial SSU rRNA". It matches the Rfam family "Bacterial small subunit ribosomal RNA", at positions 28 to 441 of the family's 1533-position model. The record is from RNAcentral. Lineage: Bacteria; Bacillati; Bacillota; Bacilli; Lactobacillales; Streptococcaceae.